Molecule: ribosomal RNA, 517 nt
Filed under: uncultured Scutellospora
Lineage: Eukaryota; Fungi; Glomeromycota; Glomeromycetes; Diversisporales; Gigasporaceae
Description: SSU rRNA
Rfam family: Eukaryotic small subunit ribosomal RNA
Source: RNAcentral
AGCAGCCGCGGUAAUUCCAGCUCCAAUAGCGUAUAUUAAAGUUGUUGCAGUUAAAAAGCUCGUAGUUGAAUUUCGGGGUUCUACCGUUGGUCGGGCUUUGUCUGUACUGGCGUGUAGAAUUUCUACCUUCUGGGGAACUAUCAUGUUAUUAAUUUAGCGUGGUAGGAAACCAGGACCUUUACCUUGAAAAAAUUAGAGUGUUCAAAGCAGGCUUAUGUCUGAAUACAUUAGCAUGGAAUAAUAAAAUAGGACGGUGGUCCUGUUUUGUUGGUUUCUGAAUCACCGUAAUGAUUAAUAGGGAUAGUUGGGGGCAUUAGUAUUCAAUUGUCAGAGAUGAAAUUCUUGGAUUUAUUGAAGACUAACUACUGCGAAAGCAUUUGCCAAGGAUGUUUUCAUUAAUCAAGAACGAAAGUUAGGGGAUCGAAGACGAUCAGAUACCGUCGUAGUCUUAACCAUAAACUAUGCCGACUAGGGAUCGGACGAUGUUAACUUUUCUUGACUCGUUCGGCGCCUUACG